UGGUGGAGUGAUUUGUCUGGUUAAUUCCGUUAACGAACAAGACCUUAACCUGCUAAACAGUUACAUGUAACCUCGGUUACAUGGGCAACUUCUUAGAGGGACUUUACGUGUCUAACGUAAGGAAGUUUGAGGCAAUAACA
Molecule: ribosomal RNA, 140 nt
Filed under: uncultured eukaryote
Lineage: Eukaryota
Description: partial 18S ribosomal RNA
Rfam family: Eukaryotic small subunit ribosomal RNA
Source: RNAcentral